UACGUAGGGUGCAGGCGUUGUCCGGAAUUAUUGGGCGUAAAGAGCUUGUAGGCGGUUUGUCGCGUCUGCUGUGAAAUUUCGGGGCUCAACCCCGAACUUGCAGUGGGUACGGGCAGACUAGAGUGUGGUAGGGGAGACUGGAAUUCCUGGUGUAGCGGUGAAAUGCGCAGAUAUCAGGAGGAACACCGGUGGCGAAGGCGGGUCUCUGGGCCGAUACUGACGCUGAGGAGCGAAAGCGUGGGGAGCGAACAGG
This 253-nucleotide ribosomal RNA is filed under the name uncultured bacterium. RNAcentral's name for it is "partial 16S ribosomal RNA". It matches the Rfam family "Bacterial small subunit ribosomal RNA", at positions 524 to 776 of the family's 1533-position model. The record is from RNAcentral.